CUGUUAUCUGAACAAGACCAAAGUGAAAUCUUUCUCUUUUGCAGACAGCUUGUUCUCAUUUCACCAUGACAAAAAGACAGUAUUCUGAAACUCUAUCUGGUUUUAUCUAAGAUAGUCUUGUUUAUACUUGUAGUCUUCUAUCAGAGGUCUUCUGUACUAAGGAGCCUCAAUCAAGCAGUGUGACAUACAUAAGCAACACCAGAUCCUGAUAUGAAGAACUUAUCUCACAGACUACAGCAGAUACUGCAGACAAACAGGAAAAUAUGAUGACCAAAGGCAUGGAUUAGAAAAUGGAUUGCAUCAAUCCCAUUUCUGUACAAGCACAGAAGAUAUUUUAGAAGGCUGCAUAUAUUUAAGGCUAACAAGGCACAUCUGCUCACCAUCUCAAGGUAAGUGUCAUUGUUUUGAGGAAACUAUAUAUCACAUUUAGUACUAAUCUGCUUAAUCUGUGCAUGCCAGAAAACAGCUUGGUGAAUUUACUGACUGUAUGCAUACUGUGAGAUUUUGUUA
RNAcentral lists this long non-coding RNA (510 nucleotides) under Anas platyrhynchos platyrhynchos (common mallard). RNAcentral's name for it is "lncRNA (ENSAPLG00000025859.1)". Lineage: Eukaryota; Metazoa; Chordata; Aves; Anseriformes; Anatidae. The record is from RNAcentral.